This 1531-nucleotide long non-coding RNA is filed under the name Gossypium barbadense (sea-island cotton). RNAcentral describes it as "long non-coding RNA (GBAR_LNC019352)". The record is from RNAcentral. Lineage: Eukaryota; Viridiplantae; Streptophyta; Magnoliopsida; Malvales; Malvaceae.
AUAAAGGAAAAGGACUAAAUUCUAAAUUUAUAAAAAGUACAAAGACUUAUAACAUAUUUCAAUAUUUUUAUAAAAACGUUAUUCGAUAAAUAAUUGAAAUAAUACUAAAAUUUAAAUUUAGAGUGAUUUAAUUUUCUACACAUAUAUUUCUCCCUUUAAAAUUUGGGUUCCUUGUAUUUUCUUAAAUCUUCAACAUCACAAGGCUAUUCAAUUGAUCUUUACUUCGGCUCAACACUCGAAAACCUAGUCUUGAAAGAUUGAAAUGAUUUAUCUUGUUAGUAAAUCAUCGCUCAACACUCGAAAACCUAGUCUUGAAAGAUUGAAAUGAUUUAUCUUGUUAGUAAAUCAUCACUCACUUAGGCCCCUCUUUGGAUCACUGUUGUUUUAUUCUUAUCGAAAAUAAACACACAGCCUAUCCAAAUAUACCCUUAAUUGAAAUUGAAUCUGAAUCGAGUCCUCGCAUUACACUUUCCUCGGCCCUUUAUUCUUGACGGUUGAAUCCAUUGUAAAGUCCUUUGUUUCAAAGCAACAAACUUUAGCUCUGUCUUUUUCUUCAAUUGGGACUUUCCUAUAUGAAAAAAUAUAUAUUUUUCAUAUAUAUAUUUGUAAGACCCAAAUUUUGCCCGGGCCCAUACCAGCCAAAUAAACCCAAAUAAUAAAAACAAAAAAAGUCCAUUUACAUUAAACCAACAGCCCAUAAACUUAAACUCUUUUCAGCUAAAAAAAGAAAGACAAAACAACCCUAGCCGCAGGCCUAGCCACUGGCGCCGCUCCAACUCCCCGCAUGGCGCACGCCCCUGCUCUUAGCCGUCAACCGCCGCAUGCGUACCAGGCCUCCUCCACGCGUGUCAGAACACCUACAAAACAGCAAAAACACGCAACAACGAGCAGCAAUAGGCAAAAAACAAAAAAAAAAGAAACAAAAAGUUGUUUAGAUUGGCUAUAAAGCCAAAAAUCAGAGACUUGUAAUCGUCUUCGACCUCUUUACGAAUCUUGAGAAAUAAAAACAAAAAACAAAACUUUGAGAGGAUUUUCCUUUUAUUUCAAUCUUUCUUUUUUAUCUUGAUUUAUAUAAUUGUUUUUUUUUUAUUUUCAUAAACAAGAAUAAUAAGAAAGAGACUUACCGGAGAGGCCCCGUGACCGCUUUGUCGGAGGGCCGAUCUCCAUCGCAAGGGCUGAAGGUUGGGGAAAGGGAGGCUUCGUUCUCUUUUCUUCUUUGUGGGAAAAGAGGCGCUCCUCCCCGAAACCUGAGAAACGGGCUUAAAGGCCCUGCUUUGUGCGACGUCGGUCGCCGUUCUCGGGGUGCCGCGGCGGCGCGUGGUGGUCUGGCAUUUGGGUUCCUAAGCUAGGCUGAAACCCUAGCAAAGAAAGGGAAAGUCCCUUUUAAAUUUUCUAUUCUAUGUAAAAAAAAUUUGAAACUACUAAACUAAGUGAUUUUUUUUAGCUGUUAUAGUGGAAACGGCGCCGUUUGAGGGAGGGAAUUUGCACAUUCAUGCCCUAAAGGGGUAAUUUCUGCAAUUGGUCCUUUUUC